This 253-nucleotide ribosomal RNA is filed under the name uncultured bacterium. RNAcentral describes it as "partial 16S ribosomal RNA". It matches the Rfam family "Bacterial small subunit ribosomal RNA", at positions 524 to 776 of the family's 1533-position model. The record is from RNAcentral.
UACGUAGGGUGCGAGCGUUAAUCGGAAUUACUGGGCGUAAAGCGUGCGCAGGCGGUUUUGUAAUCCAUUUGUUAAAUCCCCGGGCUUAACCUGGGAAUGGCAUUUGGGACUGCAAGGCUCGAGUGCGGCAGAGGAGACUGGAAUUCCUGGUGUAGCAGUGAAAUGCGUAGAUAUCAGGAGGAACACCGAUGGCGAAGGCAGGUCUCUGGGCUGACACUGACGCUCAUGCACGAAAGCGUGGGGAGCAAACAGG